Small nucleolar RNA from Dictyostelium discoideum AX4, 76 nucleotides. It matches the Rfam family "Dictyostelium snoRNA DdR11". NCBI's taxonomy places the organism in Eukaryota, Evosea, Eumycetozoa, Dictyosteliales, Dictyosteliaceae. The record is from Rfam.
UUAAUGAUGUAUUCCUCAGCUCACACCGACCACGAUGACGACAAAAAACUUUGUUCCUUAUUUUUAUUGUCUGACA